GACGAACGCUGACGGCGUGCUUUAGACAUGCAAGUCGAACGAGAAAGCCCCUUCGGGGGCGAGUAAAGUGGCGAACGGGUGAGUAACACGUGGGCAACCUGCCCCUCGCUCUGGGGAAGUAACCCGGGGAAACCCGGGCUAAUACCCCGUACGCUUGCUGGAUCGCAUGAUCCGGCAAGGAAAGGUAGCUUCGGCUAUCCGGCGAGGGAUGGGCCCGCGGUGCAUUAGCUAGUUGGUGAGGUAACGGCUCACCAAGGCGACGAUGCAUAGCUGGUCUGAGAGGAUGAUCAGCCACACUGGGACUGAGACACGGCCCAGACUCCUACGGGAGGCAGCAGUGGGGAAUUGUUCGCAAUGGGCGCAAGCCUGACGACGCAACGCCGCGUGGAGGAUGAAGACCU
Molecule: ribosomal RNA, 401 nt
Filed under: uncultured bacterium
Lineage: Bacteria
Description: bacterial SSU rRNA
Rfam family: Bacterial small subunit ribosomal RNA
Source: RNAcentral